GGCCUACUAGCUCAGUAGGUUAGAGCGUGGUGUUGAUAACGCCAAGGUCGCAAGUUCGAGACUUGCGUGGGCCA
Molecule: non-coding RNA, 74 nt
Organism: Selaginella moellendorffii
Lineage: Eukaryota; Viridiplantae; Streptophyta; Lycopodiopsida; Selaginellales; Selaginellaceae
Source: the annotation of a RefSeq genome assembly